UGUUUUUGUAGUGUUUCCGUUUUUACUGUCUGUGCUGGAUAAGACUGAGCAGACACCCAGGCUUUGUGUUUGCUGUUUUCUGUCUGGUUUCCUGGAUGCUGAAGGAUUGAUGGGGAUGGACACACAACACAGUCACCCAGCACUACUGUUCACCUGGACGCAAGAGCUGCACUGACAGAGGUCUGCGAAGUGGUCACGACAGAGUGGGUGGACAGACAGAACAUAAGAGUCCACACCAGUGAACGUCCUUGGUGCAGUGGUCAGGAGAACCAUCUAACCAAUCAGGAAGGGUGAGGGGAAAGGC
This 304-nucleotide long non-coding RNA is filed under the name Sparus aurata (gilthead seabream). RNAcentral's name for it is "lncRNA (ENSSAUG00010005424.1)". Lineage: Eukaryota; Metazoa; Chordata; Actinopteri; Spariformes; Sparidae. The record is from RNAcentral.